RNAcentral lists this ribosomal RNA (429 nucleotides) under uncultured archaeon. RNAcentral's name for it is "bacterial SSU rRNA". It matches the Rfam family "Archaeal small subunit ribosomal RNA", at positions 474 to 903 of the family's 1478-position model. The record is from RNAcentral.
UACCUGCAGCUCGAGUGGUGGCCGCUAUUAUUGGGCCUAAAACGUCCGUAGCCGGUCUUGUAAAUGCCUGGGUAAAUCGUGUCGCUUAACGAUACGAAUUCCGGGUAGACUGUAAGACUUGAGACCGGGAGAGGCUAGAGGUACUCCUGGGGUAGAGGUGAAAUUCUGUAAUCCUAGGGGGACCACCAGUGGCGAAGGCGUCUAGCUAGAACGGGUCUGACGGUGAGGGACGAAGCCCUGGGGCGCAAACCGGAUUAGAUACCCGGGUAGUCCAGGGUGUAAACGCUGCUUGCUUGAUGUUAGUCGGGCUCCGAGCCCGAUUAGUGUCGGAGAGAAGUUGUUAAGCAAGCUGCCUGGGAAGUACGGUCGCAAGAUUGAAACUUAAAGGAAUUGGCGGGGGAGCACAGCAACGGGUGGAGCGUGCGGUUU